Molecule: transfer RNA, 54 nt
Filed under: Rhigonema thysanophora
Lineage: Eukaryota; Metazoa; Nematoda; Chromadorea; Rhabditida; Rhigonematidae
Description: tRNA-Cys
Source: RNAcentral
GAGAAUUUAUUAUAUUUAUGUAUUUCUGAUUGCAAAUCAGAAGGUUGCUUCUUU